UUCCCAUCAACUCCUAUCCCUACCUUCUCGCGGUACUGGCCGGUGUAAGAGCAACCUUAGGUAAGAUCAGGUAACCAACACAUGUGGGAACUUUGGUCGUAUGCUAACAGGGAUGG
Molecule: ribozyme, 116 nt
Filed under: Aedes aegypti (yellow fever mosquito)
Lineage: Eukaryota; Metazoa; Arthropoda; Insecta; Diptera; Culicidae
Description: drz-agam-1 ribozyme
Rfam family: drz-agam-1 ribozyme
Source: Rfam by way of RNAcentral